This 88-nucleotide small RNA is filed under the name Marmota monax (woodchuck). The record is from RNAcentral. Lineage: Eukaryota; Metazoa; Chordata; Mammalia; Rodentia; Sciuridae.
GCCAGGUGUGGUGACACACACCUGUAAUUCCAGCAACAUGGGAGGCUGAGGCAGAAGGAUUGAACAAUUUAGUGAGACCCUGUCUCAA